This 76-nucleotide transfer RNA is filed under the name Inquilinus sp. Its description in RNAcentral is "tRNA-Pro". It matches the Rfam family "tRNA". From Rfam's summary of the family: Transfer RNA (tRNA) molecules are approximately 80 nucleotides in length. The record is from RNAcentral. Lineage: Bacteria; Pseudomonadati; Pseudomonadota; Alphaproteobacteria; Rhodospirillales; Rhodospirillaceae.
CGGAGUGUAGCUCAGCCUGGUAGAGCACUGUCUUCGGGAGGCAGGGGCCGGAGGUUCGAAUCCCUGCGUUCAUCCA